GACGAACGCUGGCGGCGUGCCUAAUACAUGCAAGUGGGACGCAAGGAAACACACUGUGCUUGCACACCGUGUUUUCUUGAGUCGCGAACGGGUGAGUAACGCGUAGGUAACCUGCCUAUUAGCGGGGGAUAACUAUUGGAAACGAUAGCUAAUACCGCAUAAUAUUAAUUAUUGCAUGAUAAUUGAUUGAAAGAUGCAAGCGCAUCACUAGUAGAUGGACCUGCGUUGUAUUAGCUAGUUGGUAAGGUAAGAGCUUACCAAGGCGACGAUACAUAGCCGACCUGAGAGGGUGAUCGGCCACACUGGGACUGAGACACGGCCCAGACUCCUACGGGAGGCAGCAGUAGGGAAUCUUCGGCAAUGGACGAAAGUCUGACCGAGCAACGCCGCGUGAGUGAAGAAGGUUUUCGGAUCGUAAAGCUCUGUUGUAAGUCAAGAACGUGUGUGAGAGUGGAAAGUUCACACAGUGACGGAGCUACCAGA
Molecule: ribosomal RNA, 483 nt
Filed under: Streptococcus mutans
Lineage: Bacteria; Bacillati; Bacillota; Bacilli; Lactobacillales; Streptococcaceae
Description: bacterial SSU rRNA
Rfam family: Bacterial small subunit ribosomal RNA
Source: RNAcentral